This 76-nucleotide microRNA precursor is filed under the name Schistosoma margrebowiei. Its description in RNAcentral is "mir-3492 microRNA precursor family". It matches the Rfam family "mir-3492 microRNA precursor family". The record is from Rfam by way of RNAcentral. Lineage: Eukaryota; Metazoa; Platyhelminthes; Trematoda; Strigeidida; Schistosomatidae.
AGCUUUCUUGAUUCGUGCUGAAAUUUUGUCAGACACCAACCCGCUGAAUGAUAAGACUUCUAAGAUAAGUGAAGUG